UACGAAGGGGGCUAGCGUUGUUCGGAAUUACUGGGCGUAAAGCGCACGUAGGCGGAUUGUUAAGUCGGGGGUGAAAUCCUGAGGCUCAACCUCAGAACUGCCUUCGAUACUGGCAAUCUCGAGUCCGGAAGAGGUUGGUGGAACAGCUAGUGUAGAGGUGAAAUUCGUAGAUAUUGGGAAGAACACCAGUGGCGAAGGCGGCUAUCUGGACGGUUUCUGACACUAAGACUCGAAAGCGUGGGGAGCAAACAGG
Molecule: ribosomal RNA, 253 nt
Filed under: uncultured bacterium
Lineage: Bacteria
Description: partial 16S ribosomal RNA
Rfam family: Bacterial small subunit ribosomal RNA
Source: RNAcentral